RNAcentral lists this ribosomal RNA (494 nucleotides) under uncultured bacterium. RNAcentral describes it as "partial 16S ribosomal RNA". It matches the Rfam family "Bacterial small subunit ribosomal RNA", at positions 28 to 507 of the family's 1533-position model. The record is from RNAcentral.
GACGAACGCUGGCGGCGUGCUUAACACAUGCAAGUCGAACGGAAAGGCCUGCUUUCCCUUGUGGAUUGCGGGUACUCGAGUGGCGAACGGGUGAGUAACACGUGAGUGAUCUGCCCCCAACUUGGGUAUAAGCCUGGGAAACUGGGUCUAAUUCCCGAUAGGACUGCAGGGUGGUGCCUGUGGUGGAAAACGAUUUUCUAGUGGUUGGGGAUGAGCUCGCGGCCUAUCAGCUUGUUGGUGGGGUAAUGGCCUACCAAGGCGGCGACGGGUAGCCGGCCUGGGAGGGUGGACGGCCACAUUGGGACUGAGAUAAGGCCCAGACGCCUACGGGAGGCAGCAGUGGGGAAUAUUGGCCAAUGGGCGGAAGCCUGACGCAGCGACGCCGCGUGGGGGAUGACGGCCUUCGGGUUGUAAACUCCUUUCGACCGCGAGGAAGCCACCUGGUUGGAAGGGUGGUGACGGUAGUGGUAGAAGAAGCACCGGCUAACUACGUG